This is a long non-coding RNA of Callithrix jacchus (white-tufted-ear marmoset), 496 nucleotides long. RefSeq lists it as uncharacterized. Lineage: Eukaryota; Metazoa; Chordata; Mammalia; Primates; Cebidae. The record is from RefSeq and is a predicted model, not a curated record.
AAGUCUCACUCAGUCACCCAGGCUGGAGUGCAGUGGCACGAUCUUGACUCACUGCAACCUCUGCCUCCUGGGUUCAAGCGAUUCUCCUGCUUCAGCCUCCUGAGUAGCUGGGACUACAGACACCCACCACCACGCCUGGCUAAUUUUUGUAUUUUUAAUAGAGACUGUUUUUUUUUCACCAUAUUAGCCAGGCUGGUCUUGAACUCCUGAUCUUGUGAUCUGCCUGCCUCAGCCUCCCAAAGUGCUGGGAUUACAGGUGUAAAACCUCUCUUUUUUGUCAUCUGGAUUCGUAGAACAAGGGCAAUAGCUGGGUGUUCAAUGACAGAAGUGACAUGAAGUCCUCAAAUCCUUGUGAUGGCAUCUGGACCACUGCUUGUCUCUGCAAUUGAGUGGCCAAUCCACAGUGCUCCCUGGAAUUCAUAACUGCCACUAAGACUAAGACGAUUGCAAACUUUCUGUGACCACAUCACCACUUUGUUUCUCGAUCUUCUCCAAG